UGUCCCCCUUUCCCCAACUGACUAGGUGUCCCCCUUUCCCUUUCCCCAACUGAGUAGGUAUCCCCCUUUCCCCAACUGACUAGGUAUCCCCCUUUCACCAACUGAGUAGGUGUCCCCCUUUCCCUUUCCCCAACUGACUAGGUAUCCCCCUUUCCCCAACUGAGUAGGUAUCCCCCUUUCCCCAACUGAGUAGGUAUCCCCCUUUCCCCAACUGAGUAGGUGUCCCCCUUUCCCUUUCCCCAACUGAGUAGGUGUCCCCCUUUCCCUUUCCCCAACUGACUAGGUAUCCCCCUUUCCCCAACUGAGUAGGUAUCCCCCUUUCCCCAACUGAGUAGGUAUCCCCCUUUCCCCAAAUGAGUAGGUAUCCCC
Long non-coding RNA from Oncorhynchus tshawytscha (Chinook salmon), 369 nucleotides. NCBI's taxonomy places the organism in Eukaryota, Metazoa, Chordata, Actinopteri, Salmoniformes, Salmonidae. The record is from Ensembl.